This is a non-coding RNA of Brachypodium distachyon (stiff brome), 125 nucleotides long. NCBI's taxonomy places the organism in Eukaryota, Viridiplantae, Streptophyta, Magnoliopsida, Poales, Poaceae. The record is from Rfam.
AAGGUACUACCUUCGUUUCAUAAUUCUUGUCUUAAAUUUAUUCAAAAAUGGAUGUAUCUAUUCCUAAAAAGCAUCUAGAUACAUGCAAUAUUUUGACAAGAAUUAUGAAACGGAAGGAGUAUAAA